This 257-nucleotide long non-coding RNA is filed under the name Zostera marina. RNAcentral describes it as "long non-coding RNA (ZMAR_LNC003359)". The record is from RNAcentral. Lineage: Eukaryota; Viridiplantae; Streptophyta; Magnoliopsida; Alismatales; Zosteraceae.
UAUAAAUAGGGGGUCCUAGCUAGGGGUUGGUUUUUGGUAAUUGAGAGUGACCUAGACUUGAGGGAGACCGUCGUCAAUAAUUUAAAGGUUUUUGGUUCUUUGAUGAUAUUUUAGUUUUUUAGUAAUGUAAAUUUUAUUUAAUGAUAUUUUAGUUUUUUAGUAAUGUAAAUUUUAUUUAAUGAUAUUUUAGUUUUUUAGUAAUGUAAAUUUUAUUUAAUGAUAUUUUAGUUUUUUCGUUGAUACUUCAGCUUCCCCAG